Phascolarctos cinereus (koala) is the source of this 2235-nucleotide non-coding RNA. The record is from RefSeq and is a predicted model, not a curated record. NCBI's taxonomy places the organism in Eukaryota, Metazoa, Chordata, Mammalia, Diprotodontia, Phascolarctidae.
UCCCUCCCCCGCCCCUCUCCUACGCCCCCUGAUUGGGUAAGAAUGGAGGGCGAGCUUGAACAUACACUAGCGGCAGAGUCCUUUGCCCUCCGCCUCCCGCUAUAAUGAGGCGUCCCGAAACCCACUCUCCCUCCAGCCCAUCACUGGCGGCUUCCUCCUUCUGUCUUCUUUCUCCCCGCCCCCACUCUUCCCCCUUCCCCCUCUCCAUGUACCCCACGCCAGCCGCCAGCGCGCACUCCUGAAUCCUCCGGCGCCUGCGCAGGAGUGGUCGAGCCUCUUCUUGGUGGCCAGCACGUGGGGUCUGUUUGUCCUGGGUGCUGCGGGGUGUCUUUCAGUUGGAGGACUGUGGGACCCGAAGAGGGCGGUGGGCACAGAAGGGCCAUGGCGCCGGCAGAAAUCCUCGACGGGAAGGUGGUCUCCGCCCCCUCGUGUUGAAGGCGGGUCCGUGAUCAUUUUCGCUGUGGCUGUCCUUCAGAGCCCCCCGGGACCCGGGAGCUGAUCAGUCCUUUCUUGGGCCAGAAGUACUCUUGUUGAAUGCGUGAUUGUGAGAAGCUUCUUGUGGAAUCGUGCCGUGUGUUUCCUUUCCACGGAAGUGUGAAACCUAAAGUUCCCCAGGAUUGCAUUAGUAGAGGAGUGCUUUAAUGCCUUACUGUAGAUGUGAAGGUUGAAGUUGCGGGCAAGGAAGAUGCGUUCUUUUUGAAUCCUGUUUGUGGGACCCUUGACCUCGUCUGUCACUUAAUAACGGAUUGGAAUCAGAGCCACACCUAUUAAACUACCAAGAACCUCAACUGAGGCAGAGAUUGACUAGUGUCAGUGCUGGAAAGCUUGCUAGAGGUGACGUAUGAGAUUAUUUUAUUCCCUGUACACCUAAAGGGAUGCUUGAAACUUAUCAAAGAGACAGGGCUUCCCAAAGAAAAUGAAUCUAAUUGAGUUUGUCUGAGACUUGAAAUGAAUUUUGCUUGAUGUGGAUUAUAUUUAAAUUUUCCAUGACAAAAAAUAACCUCUGUCAAUUUCAUAUCUCAGUUAUGAGGAUGGAAACUGGCAAUAUUUUUCAUCUUUCACAUUAAAGAGGUCUCCUUACAUAGCAUAAUAUCGACUUUGACCAGCGUGAGAGGAGACCUAGUAAACUCCUUCUCUUGCAUUUCUGUGCCAUAAAGAGUUAGUUGAAAGAUUUUAUGAAACUUCAGCAAAAUGGUUAUAACAAAUUCUGGGAAAACUAACUGAAGAAAAUGAAAACAACGAAAUAUAUAUCUAAUGAAGCUUUCCUACUUUGAAUGCCACUUUGAAAGAAUGCCUUACAUCCUUCAUAUGACCACACACCAUAGUGGUAACCAGAAGCAUAAUCACUGCAGACAGCACAGAAGUGGCCAUCCCUCUUUGAACCUGGGCUGUUGAUAAUGGACCUGUUAGAACUGUUCCCAUUAAUUUUUCAUUGUCUCUCUAGUGGCAAAGAAAACACCAUAAGAAAAGCAGAAGAAAAAUUAUUUUUAAAGACAAUAAGGCAAACAUCACAAGAACUCCUUGUCAAUUUACUUGACUCUUUUUAUUUAUCUCUGGAGUUAAUGUCACUGUUUUCCAAAUCUGAGAUCUAUAUGGACACAAAGAAUGGACGUCCUCUUGGAGCACUCAAAGGCCAAUCGGUUUAUACCACCCGAUUCAUAUUGUAGAAAUACAGCAUUACCAGUCCAUUCGAUUGUAGCUUUCGCUGUGCCAUUUCAUAAGGUAGUCUGUGCAACAGACAAAGACGAGACAAGUAUCAUAUCGUAUUUUCAGAGCUGGUUUUAUCCAAGGUAGAGGAGGAAGCUAUUUUGCUACAGUGAGAGUCUUUUACACACCUUUCAAUCAUCUUAGUAGGCCUUUAUAAUGCCUAGUUUCAUUCCAUAACUGCAGAGAAGGCUUAAACUAACAAUAACCUCAGGAGAGGUAAUAUAUACAUUUAAAUUAUAGACAGCAUGGUGUAUUAAAAAGAGACCUAGACAUGCAACCAGAUGACCUGGGUUCAACUUCUAGUUCUGACAGGUCCUAGCUUUGUGAACAUGUUCAAGGUGUUUAAUCUCUCUAAGACUCAGUUUGCUCAUCAAUAAAAUGAGGAUAAUAGAGGUGUACUGGAGCCAGCUCAAACUGGUUCAUGAUAACCAGCCUUUUAGUUUUAGUGUGGGCAUUUACAUCUCAGAAAUGAGCAAAUGCUACAAAUAAGGGCUUGAUUUGUUAUUUUGUUGACUGUCGAGACUUAAG